This 691-nucleotide small RNA is filed under the name Pan troglodytes (chimpanzee). RNAcentral describes it as "retained intron". Lineage: Eukaryota; Metazoa; Chordata; Mammalia; Primates; Hominidae. The record is from RNAcentral.
GGCGGCGGCUGCCGUAGUUUCAGUAUAAACGAGGAACCCGACUGGUUAGACAGAUUUUGUUUUUCUUCUUCCCGCGCGCUUUAGCUCCCUGUCCUUUGGUCGCAUUUGUGGGCGCGCGGCACGCAGCCGGGAGGCGGAGGACUCGGAGUUCACCUACAGGAAAGUAUGCCUCAGACUCCUCCCUUUUCAGCAAUGUUUGACAGCAGUGGUUACAAUCGAAACCUCUAUCAGUCUGCAGAGGACAGCUGUGGAGGGUUGUAUUACCAUGACAACAACCUCCUCUCUGGAUCCCUGGAAGCACUCAUCCAGCACUUAGUACCUAAUGUGGAUUACUAUCCAGAUGUAGGUAUUCAUGUUUCUCUGAAACACAUCCUUGGCAAUGAGUAGAAAUUGCAGUACAGUAGGCAGGGACCAUAGAUAAUACAGAAUUAUAUCUAGGUUGCUAAGAAUUUUUCUAACAAGAAAUUGCAUAUUGAUUAUCAAGUGCAUUGAAAUCAAAUUGAGCCUGGAUAAGGAUCAGAUUUUGGUAUACUAUGUGUAUCAAUUUCUUUUCAGGUUAGUUACAACAUUGUAGAUGAUCUGAUACCAUCUAAAUGAAGUAUCUGUAGAGCUGAUUCAUGCAUAUAGCUUAGUCCUUAAAUAGAAAUGUCAGAGAACAUUGGAUGCUCCCAGAAUAUGUAAUGCCUUUUUU